AUGAAAAGGUUAAAAUUUAAAAUGUUUAUCGUCAAAAAUCGUUGGUUUAGAAAGGUGAAAAGUGGAAUUUCUAAAACUGUAGUUAUCGCAAUUACCAUGUUAUUAUCAUUAUUAUCAUUUACUUUGAAUUUUUUUUUUUUCAGAAAAGAGCAGAUGUUAAACACAAAAUCUCCUUUAUCAGUUGAAGAAACUUCAAAUUCCAGAGCAUUAACUGUUCAGCGGGACAAAAAAAACGGACCAUCAAUUUCUAAAAACGCUUCCAAACUUCAAAAAACUCAUACUGAUGAAAACCCUCCUCCAAAACAGCUCAAAAGGGAUCAGGAGGAGAUAUAAAAUCUACGGAGAGCAAUUCUCUUCUUUUCGAAGAUGAAAGUGAUACUGAGGAUGAAUCAGAAGAUGAAAGUGAUACUGAGGAUGAUUCAGAAGCUGAGAACAAAAUCACCUCAGAUGAAAAUGGAAGUAACAGUGAAGAAGUUGAAGGUGACAUUCUUUCUAGAUUCCAGAAUUUUAGUGGAUGAAGUCAUUUCUUUUUUUAUCUGUUUCUUACUAUAUUGAGAAAAAAGAAAAAUCCACGCUGACCACAGGAUAAAGGAUAUUUAGAGGCCCAUGCAAGGUGAAAAAGUAACUUUUAAAUAAUUAUUUACCACACUUUUGGAGGCAGAAAGUCAGAAGAAGGCACAUAGAAAGUAGAUGACCAAAGAUAUUUUCAUCAGUCUCUUUGGGUUGACAAAAGCUAGGGCAAGGGUCUCGGCAGUCUGGAAAACCUGGAAAGUCAACAAUUUUUGCUAGUAGCACGUUGGCUCAACUUUGCCUGGUGCCAUUCGAGAGAGUGCAAACAACUUCCAAGUGCCUUUUUCCUUAAUUCAAAUCGUGUGAAAGUAAAGAUUUCAUCCAUACUUUAGCAAAAGUCAUAAUAAUGAAAAUUUAAAAAUCCGAGUGGAGGUUUUGAUUAAAGGUCAGGAAAAGUCAGAGAAUUCAGAUUCAAAGAAGAGCAAAAAAGUGAGGGAAUUGAGAAAUAAAAAAAUUAUGGAAACUCCUGCUUUAGCAAGUGGCCCCAUCUCUCUUUUUCCAACACCACAAACUUAAUCGCAUGAAAACUAAAGCUACCUAUUUUUAUGUGCUUCAUCAGUAAUUAAUUUUUCAACAGCAUAUCAACUUAGACUAACAAGGGGAGUCUAUGGAGUGACAUCCUGGGAUUGGGUUUUUUAUGAAUUAUGAAUUUAUUUGAAAGAUUCAGAGAGAUGCAAAUUAGUCAGAAGUAUAGAAAUUCGAAAUGACAUUAAUGCUGGACGUAUCAGAGAUUCUUAUUUGUCAACUACAGUGAAGAUGGAAAAAAAAUUAUACAAUAUCUUAAUAAAAUCCUGCUUCGAAGUUUCAUUUCCUAACUUCUCUUUGCGUCUCAAAGGGGAUGAAAAGAGAUAAGUGACAGAUUUGCAAUAAAGAGGAGCAAUACAUUGAACAGGGAGAAACAGCCAUCUGUGUCGAACAAUUUGCAAAAAAACGAACAUUCAUCGAAAAAUUAAGGAAAAAAUUGUAAUGGCCUGGAACUAUUUACUUUGGUGCCUCCUGGACCCUGUGAUGUUGAUUUUAAAAUACUCUGGCACUGUUAAAAUAUAAAAACUGCUAGAUGCUUGUAUUGGAUUUUUCCUAGUUUGACAAAAAUUCACACCAAAGAAUGAUAUUUCAACCUCCUACCUUCACCAACAGAAGUUAGGUUGACGUUACCACCUCACAGAAACUAAGAACUAAUAUAUUACAUCAGAAGGAAGUUUGUACAUAGAACCUUGAGCUUCAUAUGUCUUUUUAACAUUAAUCCGUCCAUUGGAUUGCAUGUAAGCGUGUGAAUGAAUUACUGUAAGAGGGAAUAAUUCCAGUUAAUGGAUAGCUCUUCUCAGGCCAUGAUGCUUUAAAAACGCCGUAUCAUGAGUAGCUCAAUUUUAUUGUUAAAGCACUCUUCUUCUUUCAAAAAGGCAGAAAUUAAAGAUAUCUGAACAAAUUCAGAAACUAGGUACAAACUACAUAGGUACAUUAAAAGGAAUUAUGAUGCAUGCAAAUCCUAGAUGCAAUCAUCAUCACAACAGUAGGCAUAAGAACAUCCCUAAUAAAAUGAUUCGAUUGAGACGGACUGAGCAGGAUGUUAAAUUUUCGGCAAUACAGAUGUUCAACGCACUGCCUUGGAGUGUGAAGCUACACUUUCGAAAUGCUGACCUAACG
Molecule: long non-coding RNA, 2214 nt
Filed under: Bemisia tabaci
Lineage: Eukaryota; Metazoa; Arthropoda; Insecta; Hemiptera; Aleyrodidae
Description: lncRNA ENSSSA2NGG013908
Source: RNAcentral